RNAcentral lists this ribosomal RNA (415 nucleotides) under Acanthamoeba genotype T4. Its description in RNAcentral is "SSU rRNA". It matches the Rfam family "Eukaryotic small subunit ribosomal RNA", at positions 780 to 1092 of the family's 1831-position model. Lineage: Eukaryota; Discosea; Longamoebia; Acanthamoebidae. The record is from RNAcentral.
UCCAAUUUUCUGCCACCGAAUACAUUAGCAUGGGAUAAUGGAAUAGGACCCUGUCCUCCUAUUUUCAGUUGGUUUUGGCAGCGCGAGGACCAGGGUAAUGAUUAAUAGGGAUAGUUGGGGGCAUUAAUAUUUAAUUGUCAGAGGUGAAAUUCUUGGAUUUAUGAAAGAUUAACUUCUGCGAAAGCAUCUGCCAAGGAUGUUUUCAUUAAUCAAGAACGAAAGUUAGGGGAUCGAAGACGAUCAGAUACCGUCGUAGUCUUAACCAUAAACGAUGCCGACCAGCGAUUAGGAGACGUUGAAUACAAAACACCACCAUCGGUGCGGUCGUCCUUGGCGUCUCGGUCCUUCACGGGGCCGGGGCGCGGGGGCGGCUUAGCCCGGUGGCACCGGUGAAUGACUCCCCUAGCAGCUUGUG